This is a non-coding RNA of Pelobates cultripes (western spadefoot toad), 240 nucleotides long. Lineage: Eukaryota; Metazoa; Chordata; Amphibia; Anura; Pelobatidae. The record is from the annotation of a GenBank genome assembly.
GUGACCCGAAAAGCCAGUUUUUGCAGCUAAGAAGAAAUUGCUCUAAAAUAGAAGAUUUUGAACAACAAACUACUAUGUUAAAAGACACAAGUUCUUAGAAAAAACUAUCCAGUAUAAAACUUGGAAACCACUAUUGAUGAAAUUAAAAUCCGAAAUAGAAACGAUCUUCUGGUCUAUAAAGAAAAAAAACAAUGAGGCUCCCUCUAUCCCCAUUAUUUUUUAUUUUAAUAACAAAAGCAA